ACGCUCGACACCUACGGGAGGCAGCAGUGAGGAAUAUUGGUCAAUGGGGGAAACCCUGAUGCAGCGACGCCGCGUGGAGGAAGAAGGUCUUCGGAUUGUAAACUCCUGUUGUUGGGGAAAAAGAGGAUGGUACCCAACAAGGAAGUGACGGCUAACUACGUGCCAGUAGCCGCGGUAAUCUGAGCGGGCUGGCAAGGC
Molecule: ribosomal RNA, 198 nt
Filed under: uncultured bacterium
Lineage: Bacteria
Description: partial 16S ribosomal RNA
Rfam family: Bacterial small subunit ribosomal RNA
Source: RNAcentral